AACGAACGCUGGCGGCAGGCCUAACACAUGCAAGUCGAACGCGUCCUUCGGGACGAGUGGCAGACGGGUGAGUAACGCGUGGGAACGUACCCUUUGGUUCGGAACAACAGCGGGAAACUGCUGCUAAUACCGGAUAAGCCCUUCGGGGAAAGAUUUAUCGCCAGAGGAUCGGCCCGCGUUAGAUUAGCUUGUUGGUGAGGUAAUGGCUCACCAAGGCUACGAUCUAUAGCUGGUCUGAGAGGAUGAUCAGCCACACUGGGACUGAGACACGGCCCAGACUCUUACGGGAGGCAGCAGUGGGGAAUCUUGGACAAUGGGCGAAAGCCUGAUCCAGCCAUGCCGCGUGAAUGAUGAAGGCCCUAGGGUUGUAAAAAUUCUUUCGACGGGGAAGAUAAUGACGGUACCCGUAGAAGAAGCUCCGGCUAACUUCGUGCCAGCAGCCGCGGUAAU
RNAcentral lists this ribosomal RNA (450 nucleotides) under uncultured bacterium. Its description in RNAcentral is "bacterial SSU rRNA". It matches the Rfam family "Bacterial small subunit ribosomal RNA", at positions 29 to 524 of the family's 1533-position model. The record is from RNAcentral.